RNAcentral lists this long non-coding RNA (984 nucleotides) under Homo sapiens (human). RNAcentral describes it as "HSALNT0344696". Lineage: Eukaryota; Metazoa; Chordata; Mammalia; Primates; Hominidae. The record is from RNAcentral.
UCAACAGCCACCUGCUCACCACAGUGGGAGGGAGUCAGGGUAAGAAUGAUCAGCCCAGAGGCAGGGGAGCUGAUGGUGGUCUCAGUUCUGGAGUUCUGGAUCCAGGACCACUCCUGUCUAUGAGAUGGCUCUUGUGCCUCCUCGAAGACCAACAUGGUAGCUUGGACGUUGAGUCAAAUCAGACCCUUCACAGUUCUUGAAAGUUGUUGGGAAAGAGAAGAUGAAAUGCAGACAGAGACGUGACUCUGGAAGAGAAAAGAUGUUCUUGGCGCAGUAAUGAUCUGCCAAUAGCCCUCUUUUCUUAGAGCCCAUGCCUUCCCAACUUCUUCAUCUGAUCUGCUGCUCAUCCAAGGAGUACUCUUCUAAUUUUUAAGUGACUCAAUGUCAAGUCGUGGUUGCUAGGAGCCUCCUCAGACGGUGAGUCCCAGGUUCCCUCACUUGACUUCUGCUUUAUUGCUAAGAUCAAUCACCUCCCUCAGACGUAUUUUGCAAAUAAUUAAGCCCAACCGUUUUUUCCUGGUGGCAAUAACUCUCCAGCCAAUUUUUGCUUUAAUCCCUCUAAUUCUAGGAUUCUCUCUUGUUCUUACCAGCAUCGUCACCUAACAGCAGCAGAAGACUGGGUUGUGGUCCUAAACUGCAGCCCUGAUCACUGCUUGGCAUAGAUGUUCUGGGAGGCCCAGUAUCUGCCCAGCUACCUUGCCAGACAUUUCUAGCUCUAGGAGUGAGUAUUUCUGUACUCUGCUUUCCUUCCUAUCAGUCCACCCCGGGAACCUUUUAUUAAGUAUUUCUCAUUGUACUUUCAUGCUCAACCUGAAAACAGUUCCUCAUCACCUGUACCUGCCCUUUCCCCACUCUCUGUCCUAACCUACCCAGGACCUUCCCAGUCACCUUCUCUAUGGUAAAAUGGUUACAAACUCUUGGAUGUUAUAUGACACUCAGAACGUUAGUUUUUUUUAUUUCAAGGUGUGUUAAUAUACUGGCAGU